RNAcentral lists this ribosomal RNA (520 nucleotides) under uncultured Glomus. RNAcentral describes it as "SSU rRNA". It matches the Rfam family "Eukaryotic small subunit ribosomal RNA", at positions 569 to 1087 of the family's 1831-position model. Lineage: Eukaryota; Fungi; Glomeromycota; Glomeromycetes; Glomerales; Glomeraceae. The record is from RNAcentral.
AGCAGCCGCGGUAAUUCCAGCUCCAAUAGCGUAUAUUAAAGUUGUUGCAGUUAAAAAAGCUCGUAGUUGAAUUUCGGGAUCAAUAUAUUGGUCGUGCCAUUGGUACGUACUGGUAUCAUUGGUUUCUCCUUUCUGACGAACCAUGAUGUCAUUAAUUUGGUGUUAUGGGAAGUUAGGACUGUUACUUUGAAAAAAUUAGAGUGUUUAAAGCAGGCUUUAGCUUGAAUACAUUAGCAUGGAAUAAUGAAAUAGGACGUUCGAACCUAUUUUGUUGGUUUCUAGGAUCAACGUAAUGAUUAAUAGGGAUAGUUGGGGGCAUUAGUAUUCAAUUGUCAGAGGUGAAAUUCUUGGAUUUAUUGAAGACUAACUACUGCGAAAGCAUUUGCCAAGGAUGUUUUCAUUAAUCAAGAACGAAAGUUAGGGGGAUCGAAGACGAUCAGAUACCGUCGUAGUCUUAACCAUAAACUAUGCCGACUAGGGAUCGGAUGAUGUUAAUUUUUUUAAUGACUCAUUCGGCGCC